Molecule: transfer RNA, 69 nt
Filed under: Bipes tridactylus
Lineage: Eukaryota; Metazoa; Chordata; Lepidosauria; Squamata; Bipedidae
Description: tRNA-Thr
Rfam family: tRNA
About the family: Transfer RNA (tRNA) molecules are approximately 80 nucleotides in length. Their secondary structure includes four short double-helical elements and three loops (D, anti-codon, and T loops).
Source: RNAcentral
GCCUAAGUAGCUUACUAAUUUAAAGCGCCGGCCUUGUAAGCCGGAGACGAGCCCACCGCUCCUAAGGCC